Molecule: ribosomal RNA, 511 nt
Filed under: Rhampholeon uluguruensis
Lineage: Eukaryota; Metazoa; Chordata; Lepidosauria; Squamata; Chamaeleonidae
Description: 16S ribosomal RNA
Source: RNAcentral
CAGAUCACGUAGGGUGUUAGUCGUUGAACAAACGAACCUUUGACAGCUGCUGCGCCGUCGGGGUACCCCGAUCCAACAUCGAGGUCGUAGGUCUUCUUGUUAAUAUGGACUUUUGAGAAGGUGGCGCUGUUAUCCCCGGGGUAGCUUAUUUCAUUAAUCAGUGUGACUGGGUCAGUUUUAAUAUCUUAGGCUUGUUGGCCUUGGCGGUGUUAGAGGUUUAAUUUUUCUAAAGUUGUCCCAACUAAAGUUAUCGUUUAGUUUGCGUAAACGGGUUAUUAAGUUCCACGGGGUCUUUUUGUCUUGCUUUAAUAUACCAGCUUUUGUACUGGUAGUUCAAUUUCAUUGGCUGGUCUUAGGAGACAGGUUUUCUCUCGUGCUGCCUUUCAUACGAGUCCCCAUUUAAAGGACAAAUGAUUGUGCUACCUUUGCACGGUUUUGGUGCCGCGGCCGUUUAGGGGUCCACAGGGCAGGCGCUACUUCUAAUAGUUGUUGGGCUAGAAGCUAUGUUUUU